RNAcentral lists this transfer RNA (62 nucleotides) under Linognathus africanus. RNAcentral's name for it is "tRNA-Phe". The record is from RNAcentral. Lineage: Eukaryota; Metazoa; Arthropoda; Insecta; Psocodea; Linognathidae.
GUUUUUAUAGCUUAAUUUAAGCGUUACCUUGAAGAAGUAAAGAUGACUUAGGUCUGAAAACA